RNAcentral lists this ribosomal RNA (485 nucleotides) under uncultured bacterium. RNAcentral describes it as "bacterial SSU rRNA". It matches the Rfam family "Bacterial small subunit ribosomal RNA", at positions 29 to 524 of the family's 1533-position model. The record is from RNAcentral.
AUUAAACGCUGGCGGCAUGCCUUACACAUGCAAGUCGAACGGCAGCACGGGGGCAACCCUGGUGGCGAGUGGCGGACGGGUGAGUAAAGCAUCGGAACGUAUCCUGGAGUGGGGGAUAACGUAGCGAAAGUUACGCUAAUACCGCAUAUUCUGUGAGCAGGAAAGCAGGGGAUCGCAAGACCUUGCGCUCUGGGAGCGGCCGAUGUCGGAUUAGCUAGUUGGUGGGGUAAAGGCCUACCAAGGCGACGAUCCGCAGCGGGUCUGAGAGGAUGAUCCGCCACACUGGGACUGAGACACGGUCCAGACUCCUACGGGAGGCAGCAGUGGGGAAUAUUGCGCAAUGGGCGAAAGCCUGACGCAGCCACGCCGCGUGAGUGAUGAAGGCCUUCGGGUCGUAAAACUCUGUCGGGAGGGACGAAGGGGCGAACCCUGACGGUACCUCGCAAGAAAGCACCGGCUAACUCUGUGCCAGCAGCCGCGGUAAU